RNAcentral lists this small RNA (127 nucleotides) under Salmonella enterica. RNAcentral's name for it is "RtT sRNA". It matches the Rfam family "RtT RNA". From Rfam's summary of the family: This family represents a bacterial cis-regulatory element known as RtT RNA. The record is from RNAcentral. RNAcentral also lists the same sequence under 1 other name. Lineage: Bacteria; Pseudomonadati; Pseudomonadota; Gammaproteobacteria; Enterobacterales; Enterobacteriaceae.
UAUCUCUCUGUACAGGGAAGGAUGAGAAUCUUCGAUUAAGGUUCGACUCGAGCGGAAGCGAGAGAGCGUUGCCAACGGCAACGGCCCGAAGGGCGCGACGCGCCGAGUCAUCCUUCCCCCACCACAA